Long non-coding RNA from Lonchura striata (white-rumped munia), 1032 nucleotides. RefSeq lists it as uncharacterized. The record is from RefSeq and is a predicted model, not a curated record. Lineage: Eukaryota; Metazoa; Chordata; Aves; Passeriformes; Estrildidae.
UGAGCGCCCUGCAGGUGCUGGAGGCUGCUGGGGCUGCAGCUGGCACCUGCAACGAUGGCAGGGCUGCUGGGGAAGGGAGCUGGGCCACGGGGAGCCCUGGGUGAGCGUGUGGCAGGACGUGAUGCUGAGCAAUUAGCCACCGAAUUAGCAAUUAACCACAGAAUUAACAAUUAGCCACUGAAUCGAGAAGCUGCUGCAGAGCAGAAGGAGCAGGACAACUCCCAUUUUUUGAGAAGUUUUGGCUGGGAUUAGAGCUGCUUGCAAGAAGAAUUUUUGCAUUCCCAGAGGGGAGGAAGGCCAAUUGUCAACUGCAAGAUUAGCAAUGCAGUCAGCUGGUGUUUUAAAUAACAGGAGAGAUUCUGGAACGUGAAAACAAAUUAAUCCUUGCCAUGGAUGAGAAAGCGUUACCUGAAAUUUUUGUUGUGUAUUUAGAGCUUAGCAACAGAUGCUGCACCUGGAAAAAAGGGAAUUUACAGAGAGGGUGGGAAGCAAAUCCUGAAGUGGGUUUGUCCUCUGUUGUCCAAGGAAGAGGAAUUCUGCAUUUCCUGACAGCAGAAGGCACAAAGGUGAUGCUCAGAGGUGUUUGAUCACCACCUGUGAGUGCAGAGAUUUCAUCUCUGUGAAAUCUGUCUCCUCUCUUCCUGUGCUGCAGGCAGCUCCAAAACAUCUCUGCUCUUUUAUUUUGCGCUUUCUAAAUAAUACCUAAGAAGGAGAUAGCUGAUAAGGAGGUAAUUUUAUGUUUUGCUUUAAGUGUGCAUCAUUUUCCCUUUCUGUUGUGACAUUGAUUUAUGUAUUAUGCCAGAAAUAGAAAAUGUGUAUGGAAAGAGCAGCAGCAUCCCACACAGAACCACUCAAUUCAGCCUGGAAAGUCACUCACAGGAUUUAAAAUCACAUCACAGGGCUUUUUGCUCUUAGACUUCACCUUUCAUUACAAAAUAAGUUUCUAUUUUUUCCACUGUCCUGCCACCUUCAGUUGAUCCAAUUCUCCCUGCUCUGUAAUACAGUCAUUAAAUAUUGACUCUAAUCCUUGAU